Molecule: ribosomal RNA, 245 nt
Filed under: uncultured bacterium
Lineage: Bacteria
Description: partial 16S ribosomal RNA
Rfam family: Bacterial small subunit ribosomal RNA
Source: RNAcentral
GCGCAAGCGUUGUCCGGCCUUAUUGGGCGUAACGCGCUCGUAGGCGGUUUGUCGCGUCUGCUGUGAAAACCUAAGGCUCAACCUUGGGCUUGCAGUGGGUACGGGCAGACUAGAGUGCGGUAGGGGUGACUGGAAUUCCUGGUGUAGCGGUGGAAUGCGCAGAUAUCAGGAGGAACACCGAUGGCGAAGGCAGGUCACUGGGCCGCAACUGACACUGAGAGACGAAAGCUAGGGGAGCGAAUGGG